AUUGAACGCUGGCGGAAUGCUUUACACAUGCAAGUCGAACGGCAGCACGGACUUCGGUCUGGUGGCGAGUGGCGAACGGGUGAGUAAUGUAUCGGAACGUGCCCAGUCGUGGGGGAUAACGUAGUGAAAAUUACGCUAAUACCGCAUACGAUCUAUGGAUGAAAGCGGGGGAUCGCAAGACCUCGCGCGAUUGGAGCGGCCGAUAUCAGAUUAGGUAGUUGGUGGGGUAAAGGCCCACCAAGCCAACGAUCUGUAGCUGGUCUGAGAGGACGACCAGCCACACUGGAACUGAGACACGGUCCAGACUCCGACGGGAGGCAGCAGUGGGGAAUUUUGGACAAUGGGCGAAAGCCUGAUCCAACCAUUCCGCGUGCAGGAUGAAGGCCCUCGGGUUGUAAACUGCUUUUGUACAGAGCGAAAAGGUUUCUACUAAUACUAGGAGCUCAUGACGGUACUGUAAGAAUAAGCACCGGCUAACUACGUGCCAGCCGCCGCGGUAA
This 500-nucleotide ribosomal RNA is filed under the name uncultured bacterium. RNAcentral's name for it is "partial 16S ribosomal RNA". It matches the Rfam family "Bacterial small subunit ribosomal RNA", at positions 30 to 523 of the family's 1533-position model. The record is from RNAcentral.